ACGCUGGCGGCGUGCCUAAUACAUGCAAGUCGAACGCACAGCGAAAGGUGCUUGCACCUUUCAAGUGAGUGGCGAACGGGUGAGUAACACGUGGAUAACCUACCUCAAGGUUGGGGAUAACAUUUGGAAACAGAUGCUAAUACCGAAUGAGACUUCUUGCUGCAUGACAGGAAGUUAAAAGGCGCUACGGCGUCGCCUAGAGAUGGAUCCGCGGUGCAUUAGUUAGUUGGUGGGGUAAAGGCCUACCAAGACAAUGAUGCAUAGCCGAGUUGAGAGACUGAUCGGCCACAUUGGGACUGAGACACGGCCCAAACUCCUACGGGAGGCUGCAGUAGGGAAUCUUCCACAAUGGGCGAAAGCCUGAUGGAGCAACGCCGCGUGUGUGAUGAAGGCUUUCGGGUCGUAAAGCACUGUUGUAUGGGAAGAACAGCUAGAGUAGGGAAUGACUUUAGUUUGACGGUACCAUACCAGAAAGGGACGGCUAAAUACGUGCCAGCAGCCGCGGUAAUACGUAUGUCCCGAGCGUUAUCCGGAUUUAUUGGGCGUAAAGCGAGCGCAGACGGUUGAUUAAGUCUGAUGUGAAAGCCCGGAGCUCAACUCCGGAAAGGCAUUGGAAACUGGUCAACUUGAGUGCAGUAGAGGUAAGUGGAACUCCAUGUGUA
This 662-nucleotide ribosomal RNA is filed under the name uncultured Leuconostoc sp. RNAcentral describes it as "bacterial SSU rRNA". It matches the Rfam family "Bacterial small subunit ribosomal RNA", at positions 33 to 677 of the family's 1533-position model. The record is from RNAcentral. Lineage: Bacteria; Bacillati; Bacillota; Bacilli; Lactobacillales; Lactobacillaceae.